This 467-nucleotide ribosomal RNA is filed under the name uncultured bacterium. Its description in RNAcentral is "bacterial SSU rRNA". It matches the Rfam family "Bacterial small subunit ribosomal RNA", at positions 26 to 507 of the family's 1533-position model. The record is from RNAcentral.
AGAACGAACGCUGGCGGCGCGUCUUAAACAUGCAAGUCGAACGAUCUGUAGCAAUACAGGGAGUGGCGGACGGGUGAGGAACACGUAGGAAUCUACCUUGAAGAGCGGGACAACUUUGGAAACCGGGGCUAAUACCGCAUAGUACAGAGAUGUUAAAGGGCUAGCAAUAGUCGCUUCGAGAUGAGCCUGCGGUCUAUCAGCUUGUUGGUGAGGUAAUGGCUCACCAAGGCUACGACGGAUAGCCGGUCUGAGAGGAUGAUCGGCCACACUGGCACUGAGACACGGGCCAGACUCCUACGGGAGGCAGCAGUUAAGAAUCUUGCGCAAUGGGGGAAACCCUGACGCAGCGACGCCGCGUGAAGGAUGAAGGCUUUCGGGUUGUAAACUUCGGUAGACUGGGAAGAAGAAAUACGUUCGUUGAGGGCGUAUAGUGACGGUACCAGUCUGAAGCCCCGGCUAAUUACGUG